Non-coding RNA from Araneus ventricosus, 65 nucleotides. Lineage: Eukaryota; Metazoa; Arthropoda; Arachnida; Araneae; Araneidae. The record is from the annotation of a GenBank genome assembly.
CUCCCCGGCGAAUCGAACCCCGGUCUCCCGCGUGACAGGCGGAUACUGACCACUAUCACCGAGGA